GGAAAAGGCUAAAGAAGAAAAUGGAAGAAAGAAAGAGAGAGGUAAAGGUGAUACUACACCGAGCGGCCGAGUUGACUCGCUGCCGAGUCAGUUAGGUCGAGUUGGGCGUGGGCCUGACUUGGGUUUGGGUCUUAUGAGACUCUAGAGAGAGUAGAAGUAUAAAGUGGAAGGAAGAAAAAAGAAACAAGAAAGGAAAGAGUGGAGAGAAGAGAAUAGAGAAGAAGGGAGGAAGACCGAGUGACUCACCUAAGUUGACUCAUCGAGUUAGCCCCUGAAACACAUGAACUGGGCUUGAUUUAGGUUAGUUCAGCCCUUGUAAGGCCAAGAAUCCUAUUGUGGUGGUACAUUGUGUUCGAUUCAAGUUGGGAGCCAAGUUUCGGCACCAAGUCGAGUUAACUCAGUUUGGACAAGGCAUGUUGAAGGAAUGGCGUUGCAAUCUAACUAAACAAACGGAUUAAAGUAUGAUCGAAAUUGGAUUCAUGAACAUGUGCGAUCAAUUCCAAAUACAUAGGUAGUCGAUUCGACUCUUGAAAGACAUAAGUUUGAUGACAGGUGGAGACCCCUAUGAUAGGAUCCCAAGGGCGGCUGAGGUGGGGUUUAGCGAGGAAGUACUCUAUGUGAAUGUAGUUGAGCCAUUGGAGCUCAAUUGAUAUCUUAGGAUUUUACUUACUUUCAUAUCUUAUACUUUAAGUUUUGUUUGAGCUGUAAUAACAAUUCCCCUGCUGAGGGAUUCCAUGUUACUUUCAUUUACUUGUAUUAAACUUCCUUAUUGUUACUCUUGAUAUU
Molecule: long non-coding RNA, 786 nt
Organism: Magnolia sinica
Lineage: Eukaryota; Viridiplantae; Streptophyta; Magnoliopsida; Magnoliales; Magnoliaceae
Exons: 3
Source: RefSeq, a predicted model, not a curated record